This 253-nucleotide ribosomal RNA is filed under the name uncultured bacterium. RNAcentral's name for it is "partial 16S ribosomal RNA". It matches the Rfam family "Bacterial small subunit ribosomal RNA", at positions 524 to 776 of the family's 1533-position model. The record is from RNAcentral.
UACAGAGGGUGCGAGCGUUAAUCGGAAUUACUGGGCGUAAAGCGUGCGUAGGCGGUUAUUUAAGUCGGGUGUGAAAGCCCCGGGCUCAACCUGGGAAUUGCAUUCGAGACUGAAUAGCUAGGGUACGGUAGAGGGAAGCGGAAUUUCCGGUGUAGCGGUGAAAUGCGUAGAUAUCGGAAGGAACACCAGUGGCGAAAGCGGCUUCCUGGACCAGUACCGACGUUCAGGCACGAAAGCGUGGGGAGCAAACAGG